Molecule: ribosomal RNA, 303 nt
Filed under: uncultured bacterium
Lineage: Bacteria
Description: partial 16S ribosomal RNA
Rfam family: Bacterial small subunit ribosomal RNA
Source: RNAcentral
AGCAGCAGCCGCGGUAAUACGUAGGUGGCAAGCGUUGUCCGGAAUUAUUGGGCGUAAAGGGCUCGCAGGCGGUUUCUUAAGUCUGAUGUGAAAGCCCCCGGCUCAACCGGGGAGGGUCAUUGGAAACUGGGAAACUUGAGUGCAGAAGAGGAGAGUGGAAUUCCACGUGUAGUGGUGAAAUGCGUAGAGAUGUGGAGGAACACCAGUGGCGAAGGCGACUCUCUGGUCUGUAACUGACGCUGAGGAGCGAAAGCGUGGGGAGCGAACAGGAUUAGAUACCCGUGUAGUCCCUGUCUCUUAUAC